RNAcentral lists this unclassified non-coding RNA (426 nucleotides) under Hevea brasiliensis (rubber tree). Lineage: Eukaryota; Viridiplantae; Streptophyta; Magnoliopsida; Malpighiales; Euphorbiaceae. The record is from RNAcentral.
AAAUAAAAAUUCUUCCCAUCCCCCACCCCUCAAAAACUUAACUGAUUUUUUAAAGAUAAACUUACUAUAGCCUUUCACAUAAAAAUUCCCCAAACAGUAAAAAAUAAUUGAUAACACAACAGCAACUGCUUCAGCGCCAAAUUAUGCCAUUAUAACAAAGAAGAAACAUAAUCAAUAAAACAACUAUCAAGAUAAUUAAAAAUCUUAUGUGUUGCAACAAAAGUCACAUAGAAUGCUCACCCUUGAUCAAACUAAAAAAGACCCUGGAAAAUAUGCAAAUCUUAUUCUAUUAAGUUGCUUUAUAUGGCUCAUUACAACUUUUAACCGAUCAGUUAAUAUCAUUUGUUUCAAUGGGAAUUCUGCAUUAUCUGAUAAGAAAGUCGUAUCAACAAAUCCGACAUGUUUACAAUACAAAGAAAGGAAUAA